This 254-nucleotide ribosomal RNA is filed under the name uncultured bacterium. RNAcentral's name for it is "partial 16S ribosomal RNA". It matches the Rfam family "Bacterial small subunit ribosomal RNA", at positions 524 to 776 of the family's 1533-position model. The record is from RNAcentral.
UACGUAGGGUUCAAGCGUUAUCCGGAAUCACUGGGCGUAAAGCGUGCGUAGGUGGCGUGUUAAGUGCAAUGCGAAAUCCUGUGGCUCAACCAUAUGGACUGUAUUGCAUACUGGCAUGCUAGAGGACGGCAGAGGCAAGUGGAAUUACCGGUGUAGCAGUGAAAUGCGUAGAGAUCGGUAGGAACACCAAUGGCGAAGGCAGCUUGCUGGGCCGACCCUGACGCUAAGGCACGAAAGCGUGGGGAGCGAACAGG